RNAcentral lists this ribosomal RNA (230 nucleotides) under uncultured bacterium. Its description in RNAcentral is "partial 16S ribosomal RNA". It matches the Rfam family "Bacterial small subunit ribosomal RNA", at positions 524 to 754 of the family's 1533-position model. The record is from RNAcentral.
UACGGAGGGUGCAAGCGUUGCUCGGAAUUAUUGGGCGUAAAGGGUAGGUAGGUGGUCUCAUUUGUCUGGGGUGAAAGCCUUGAGCUUAACUCAAGAAGUGCCCCAGAAACGGUGAGACUGGAGUCCUGGAGAGGGUCGUGGAAUCCCGGUGUAGCGGUGAAAUGCGUAGAGAUCGGAGGAACACCAGAGGCGAAGGCGGCGAGCCUGGACAGCACUGACACUCAAGUCAC